This 497-nucleotide ribosomal RNA is filed under the name uncultured bacterium. RNAcentral describes it as "partial 16S ribosomal RNA". It matches the Rfam family "Bacterial small subunit ribosomal RNA", at positions 28 to 507 of the family's 1533-position model. The record is from RNAcentral.
GAUGAACGCUGGCGGCGUGCCUAAUACAUGCAAGUCGAGCGAACGGACGAGAAGCUUGCUUCUCUGAUGUUAGCGGCGGACGGGUGAGUAACACGUGGAUAACCUACCUAUAAGACUGGGAUAACUUCGGGAAACCGGAGCUAAUACCGGAUAAUAUUUUGAACCGCAUGGUUCAAAAGUGAAAGACGGUCUUGCUGUCACUUAUAGAUGGAUCCGCGCUGCAUUAGCUAGUUGGUAAGGUAACGGCUUACCAAGGCAACGAUGCAUAGCCGACCUGAGAGGGUGAUCGGCCACACUGGAACUGAGACACGGUCCAGACUCCUACGGGAGGCAGCAGUAGGGAAUCUUCCGCAAUGGGCGAAAGCCUGACGGAGCAGCGCCGCGCGAGUGAUGAAGGUCUUCGGAUCGUAAAACUCUGUUAUUAGGGAAGAACAUAUGUGUAAGUAACUGUGCACAUCUUGACGGUACCUAAUCAGAAAGCCACGGCUAACUACGUG